This 9818-nucleotide long non-coding RNA is filed under the name Homo sapiens (human). RNAcentral describes it as "non-protein coding lnc-ZNF627-2:14". Lineage: Eukaryota; Metazoa; Chordata; Mammalia; Primates; Hominidae. The record is from RNAcentral.
ACCCGCGCUCGGCUCCCUGCUCGGUCGGGCUGGAACCUGUACUGGCAGCCGGAGGUGUAGGUAGGAACCGGAAUACCUCGGAAGCCGGGAAAUGAGUGUAGCUUCCUAGUGCUGUCAGCCUGAACCUUCCUCCUCUGCCAUGUGGGAUGUUUCAGGACUCAAUGAUCUUUGAGGAUGUGGCUGUGAACUUUACCCAGGAGGAGUGGGCUUUGCUGGAUCCGUCCCAGAAGAAACUCUACAGAGAUGUGAUGUGGGAAAUCAUCAGGAACCUGAUGUCUGUAGGAAUAAAAUGGGAAGACCGGAACAUUGAAGAUCAGUACAAAAAUUCCAGGAGAAAUCCAAGAAAUCAUAUGGCAGAGAGACUCUGUGAAUGUAAAGAUGGUCAAUGUGGAGAAACUUUCAGCCUGAUUCCAGAUGGUAUAAUGAACAAGAACACUCUUCCUGGGGUAAAACCAUGUGAAAGCAGUGUGUGUGGAGAAGGCAACGUGGAUCAUUCAUCUCUGAAUUGCUACAUCAGAGCUGACACUGGACACAAACCGUAUGAGUGUCAGGAACAUGGAGAGAAGCCACAUAAAUGUAAGCAGUGUGUAAAAACCUUCAGCUGCCUCCACUCCUUCCAAACACAUGAAAAGCCUCACACAGGAGAGAAACCCUAUGAUUGUAAGGAAUGGGAAAAAACCUUCGAUUCUCCCCAAACCGUUCGAAGAUACAGGGUAGUGCACAGUGGAGAUGGACCUUAUAAAUGUAAGUUUUGUGGGAAAGCCUUUGAUAAUCUCAGUUUAUAUCUCACACAUGAAAGAUCUCAUACUGGACAGAAGCCAUAUGAAUGUAAUGAAUGUGGGAAAGCCUUUGGUUUUCCCAGCUCCUUUCAUAGACAUGAAAGAAUGCACACCGGGGAGAAACCAUAUGAAUGUAAGCAAUGUGGGAAAACCUUUAGUUGUUCCAGUUCCAUUAAAAAACAUGAAAGAAUCCACACUGGAGAGAAGCCCUAUGAAUGCAAGCAAUGUGGGAAAGCCUUCGCUUCUUCCAAUUCCUUUCAGUAUCAUGAAAGGACUCACACUGGAGAGAAACCCUAUGAAUGUAAGCAAUGUGGGAAAGCCUUUAAUUGUUCCAGUUCCCUUAGAAAACAUGCAAGAAUUCACACUGGAGAGAAACCCUAUAUAUGUAAACAAUGUGGUAAAGCUUUUAGAUUUCCCAGUUCUAUUAAAAAUCAUGAAAAGACUCACACUGGAGAGAAGCCCUAUGAAUGUCAGGAAUGUGGGAAAGCCUUCAGAUAUUCCAGUUCACUUCGAGUACAUAAAAGAAUUCACACUGGAGAGAAGCCGUAUGAAUGUGAGGACUGUGGGAAAGCCUUCAGUCAUCCCACGACCUUUCAUAGACAUAAAAUUACCCACACUGCAGAGAAACCUUAUGAAUGUCAGGAAUGUGGGGAAGCCUUCCGUUAUCCUGUUGCUUUUCGUAGACAUAAAAUUACCCACACUGCAGAGAAACUUUGAGUGUAAGGAAUGUGGGAAAGCCUUCUGUUAUCACAGUUCCCUUCAAAGACAUGAAAGGACUCACAACGGAGAAAAGUUGUGUGGAUAUAAAAAAUGUAAAGCCGGCUGGGUGCGGUGGCUGACGCCUGUAAUCCCAGCACUUUGGGAGGCCAAGGCGGGCGGAUCAUGAGGUCAAGAGAUUGAGACCAUCAUGGCCAACAUGGUAAAACCCCAUCUCUACUAAAAAUACAAAAAUUAGCUGGGCGUGGUGGCAUGUGCCUGUAGUACCAGCUACUUGGGAGGCUGAGGCAGGAGAAUUGCUUGAACCUGGGAGGUGGAGGUUGCAGUGAACCGAGAUUGUGCCACUGUACUCCAGCCAGGUGACAGAGUGAGACUCCGUCUCAAAAAAAAAAAAAAAAAAAGUAAAGCCUUCCACUAUUCCAGUACCUUCUGAAACCAUGAAAGAACUGACACUUGAGAAAAACAAUGAUGUUAGGAACAUGGGAAACCUUUCCUUUCUCUCUCAAUCGUUUGAAGGCAUAUGGUGUGACAUGCUGGCGAUAGACCUCAUAACUGUAAGGAACAUGGAAAACGAUUCUUGUUUUCCAUGCUCCUUGUUUAUUUUAGAUACAUGAAAGAAUUUACUCUGGAGAGAAACUAUGAGUGUAAAAAAUGUGGUAACGCCUUGUGUAGUUUCUGUUUCUCUGAAAUACUGUCAUGUCCUGGUAUUCUCAGGGGAUUAGUUGCAGGCACCCCGCUCCCCACUUCAGAACAUCUAAAUCUGAAGAUGCUCAAGUGCUUUAUAUAAAAUGGUGUAUUUUCCUAGAACCUAAGCACAUCCUCUUGUACACUUUAAAUCAUCUCUAGGUUAUCCAUACUGCCUAAUGCAUUGUAAACGAUAUAAAAAUAGUUGUUUCAUUGUGUUAUUUAGGGAAUGCUGACAAGAAAAAACAUCUGUAGAUGUUUAAUACAGAUAACCAUCACAUGCCCACCUCCAUAGUACAGGCCCACCUCAUAGUAUAUGUCAGCUACAAUGAAACAUUUUCUUUUUUUUUUAAAAAACGUUUUGGAUUGGUUUCAUUUAAUGGCCUCAAAAACACGUGUUAACAUUCUCCAAAUCCUUGGUUCUUCUCUCCUGAUAACCCUCAUGUGAUGAUUGCUCUGUGGUUCCUAAAGCUGCAGUGUGUUGAGGUGCUUAGAUAUGUGGCAGUGUAGAUAAGUCAGGGGACAUCAGUUUAACUUGAAUUUUCUUUUUUUUUUUUUUUGAGAUGGAGUCUUGCUCUGUCACCCAGGCUGGAGUGCAAUGGUGUGAUCUCGGCUCACUGCAACCUCCACCUCCUGGGCUCAAGUGAUUCUCCUGCCUCAGCCUCCCAACCAGCUGGGAUUACAGGUGCCCGCCACCACACCCGGCUAAUUUUUGUAUUUUUAGAAGAGAUGGGGUUUCACCAUGUUGGCCAGGCUGGUCUUGAACUCCUGACGUCGUGAUCUGCCCACCUUGACCUCCCAAAGUGCUGGGACUACAGGAAUGAGCCACCCUGCCCGGCCAGAAUUUUCUUUCAGGACAUCAGGAGGAUCCUCUGCUGGAAGAACCAACAUCUGAUUGCAGAUGUUGCCUCUUUGGUGGAAGGUCAGUAACACAAAUCUUGGAUCUGUGGUGUUUGAGGGCUGAAAAUAUUUAAGCAUCGAACUUUCAGUCCUUUUUUUUUUUCUUUUUUUUUGAGAUGGAGUCUCUGUCGCCCAGGCUGGAGUGCAGUGGCACGAUCUCAGCUCACUGCAACCUCUGCCUCCCAGGUUCAAGCGAUUCUCCUGCCUCAGCCUCCCAAAUAGCUGGGAUUACAGGCGCACACCACCAUCCCCAGCUAAAUUUUGUAUUUGUAGCAGAGACAGGGUUUCAUCAUGUUGGCCAGGCUGGUCUUGAACUCCUGAUCUCUGAUGAUCUGCCCACCUUGGCCUCCCAAAGUGCUGGGAUUAUAGGCGUGAGCCACCGCACCCUGCUGAAGUUUCAGUCUUCAUAAUUGCAGAUGCUUUAGUUGGAAACGUUGUCAUAGGAAAAGCUGUUUUUUCUUUCUCUUUGAAUCAUCAAACACAUCUUGCAAUGGUUUUGGCCAUGUUAUCUCUGGUGACCUGGAAGCGACUUUGAUAUUAAGCUUCAGAGUAUGCUGAAACAAGUCAAGACUUUUGGUGAUGUUAGGAUGGUAAGCAUGUAUUUUGCAUGUGAGGUCAUAAAUUUAGGGAGCAGGUAGAAAAUUAUUGCUUUAUUUGUCCCCUGAAAUUCAUAUUAUUAUUAUUUUUUUGAGAGAGUUUUGCUCUUGUUGCCUAGGCUGGAGCGCAAUGGCACAAUCUUGGCUCAAUGCAACCUCCACCUCCUGGUUUCAAGCGAUUCUCCUGCCUCAGCCUCCCAAGUAGCUGAGACUGUAGGCAUACGCCACCGUACCCGGCUAAUUUUUUGUAUUUAGUAGAGACAGGGUUUCACCAUGUUGGUCAGGCUGGUCUCCAACUCCUGACCUCAGGUGAUCCAUGCACCUCGGCCUCCCAAAGUGCCGGGAUUAUAGAGAUGCGCCACCACGCCCAGCCCUGAAAUUCAUAUUUUGAAACCUUACUCCCUAAUGUAUGGAAUGAGGAGAUAGGAUGCCUGGGAGGUAAUUAGGAUUACUUGGGAUCAUGAGGGUAGAGUUCUCAGGAAUGGGACUAUAAGGUUCCCUAGAGAGCUUGCAUUUGCUCUCUAUUAUGUGAGGACACAAUGAGAUGAAAGCCUUCUUUGAACAAGGAAGCUUGCCCUUACCAGGCACUGAAUCUACUAUCACUUUGAUCUUGGAGUUCACAAUCUCCUGUAUACUGAGGAGCAAAUGUUAGGUGUUUAAUACACCCAGCUUAUGUCAUUUUGUUUUAGGAGCCCCUGGUGGAUAAAGCACAACCCCAUUAAAAAAUAGGUGAAGGAGUUGAAUAGACAUUUCUCUAAUGAGGAUGUACAAAUAGACAAUAAUUACAUAAAGAAGAUGUUCAGCAUCACUCAUGGUUUAGGGACAUGCAAAUCAAGAGCAAAAUGACAUCUAUAUCCCCUCACCCUCAUUAGUUUGCUUCUGUCCAAGAACAAAAUAACAUGCUGGCAACGAUGUGGAAUAGUGAGGACCCUUGUACACUAUUGAUGGAAAUGCAAAAUGUCACAACUACUUUUGAAAACUAUAUGGCAGGCCGGGUGCGGUGGCUCAUGCCUGUAAUCCCAGCACUUUGGGAGCCUGAAGUGGGCAGAUCACCUGAGAUUGGGAGUUGAAGACCAGCCUGACCAAGAUGGAGAAACCCCAUCUCUACUAAAAAUACAAAAAAAUUAGCCGGGCAUGGUGGCCCAUGCUUGUAAUCCCAGCUACUCAGGAGGCUGAGGCAGGAGAAUCACUUGAACCCGGGAGGCGGAGGUUACAGUGAGUGGAGAUCGCGCCAUUGCACUCCAGCCUGGGCAACAAGAGCGAAAGUCCAUCUCAAAAAAAAAAACAAAAAAACAAAAAAAAAAACAACUGUGUGGCAGGUAAUCAAUACAUUGAAAAAAUGGAAAUAACAUCCACCAUUUUUCCCUUCUGGGAAUAUAAGCAAAAGAAUAGAGACGGGGGCCUGAAAUGGGUAUUUGUAUACAUGGUAUAGCAGUAUAACUUACCAAUAGGGAAAAUGUGGAAGCAACUCUCUUGUAUAUUGACAGAUGGAUGAAUAAGCAAAAGGUAGUAUAUGCAUAGGAUAGACUAUUACUCUGCCUUCAAACGGAAGGGUGACCUGACAAAUGCUACAGCAUUGAUGAACUUGGAGCACAUUAUGCUAAGUGAAAUAGUCCAUUCAUAUAAAGACACACCUUAUAAGGUCGAGUCACUUGAUUUUUUACAACCUGUCUCCAGACAUGGGCUCCUUAAACUCCAGACCCAAAAUGUUUUUGCUUAUAUGAGGUACUCAGAGGAGUCAAAUUCAUAAAGAAAGUAGAAUGGUGAUUGUGUGGAAUAGGGGAAGUGGGUAAUGGAGACUUAUGAUUUAAUGGCAUAAAGUUUCAAUAUUGCAAGAUGAAAAGGGUUCUGGAGAUAGAUGGUGGUGAUGGCUGCACACCAAUAUGAACGUACUGAAAGCCAGUAAUUCUACACUUAAAAAUUAAGAUGGGCCGGGCACAGUGGCUCACGCUUGUAAUCCCAGCACUUUGGGAGGCCGAGGUGGGUGGAUCACCUGAGGUCAGGAGUUGGAGACCAGCCUGGCCAAAAUGGCAAAACCCCGUCUCUACUAAAAAUACAAAAAUGAGCUGGGCAUGGUGGUGCAUGCCUGUAAGCCCAGUUACUCAGGAGGCUGAGGCAGGAGGAUCUCUUGAACCCGGGAGGCUGAGGUUGCAGUGAGCUGAGAUUGUGCCACUGCACUCCAGCCUGGGAGACAGAGCAAGACUCCAUCUCAACAACAACAACAAAAAAUUGUUAAGAUGAUAAAUUGUAUUUUUUCUGUAUUUUAGUACCAUUAAAAUACGUGGGAUUGGUCAGAGUGGUGGAUAGGGAAAGGACGCAAACCUUCUGAGAGGUUGGAAGGUUCUGCAGAGCCCUGGGGGAGAAUAGCUGAAGGUGGCUGUUCUAUAACCCUGAGGCAGAGGGCAUGGAGUAGGUACAAGGGAGUGUGGGGGAAUUUAUCUUAAACAGGCUUGUUUACUUGUGUUGACCAGGAACUGACCUUUCAUCAUCCCUGUGCCUGACGUUCCCUGAAAGGGGAACAAUAAGUGUUAAUUACCUACAGGUUGUGUUGGCUCCAGGUUUUUGGCAUUGUGCCUAGACUGAAUAAAAGCAAGCAGCUCCAGCUUCUUGGGGCUGCUUUCUGGCCACUAGAGCCAGGCAGUCACCUAGUUGCUGUUACACUGAAUACCUGUGUCUGAGUCCUCAUUUCAUCCGUUGGCCAGGGUCUGCAGGACAGACCCGGCAUUAAAAGAGUGGGGAGCCACAGUAGUGCAAAGACCCCACUGGACCACCAACAUACCAAGCAGUUCUUGGUUCAAUCCCUCCUUGUCCUCAACACUGUUUUUCCAUUUUCCUUGUCCAUAAAGGACCUGUUUCCACAUGCUUGCUUUGACUCUGAUGUCACCUUUAGAGUUGAUGCUCAGGCAUAGCUCACUUAACUGCCUCACCUUUUCUCUCCUGAUCUGGUUGUUGAUGGCUGUUGUGAGACAUUGGUUGUUGCCUUUUUAGUUUAAAAGGAUUCAAAUGACACACAGCAAUGGAGAUGCAGUAUAUGGCAAUUUAUUGCAAACGAAAAAGUAUUUUGAAAGUUAAGUGCAGAACAGACAGUAUGCCCUGAGAGAGAGAGGAGGAUUCAGGGCAGGCUGCUCAUAAGGAUGAGACAGCAAACAGUGGCACUAGGGAGACUUUUUAAAAAAAUUUUAAUAGUUAGAUUUCAGCUCUUUUGAGUGGUUUCAAGUCUGCUGUGGAGGAAGGGGGUAGGGGGAAGGUGGGCAUAGCCCGAGAGGCAACAGACUCCAGAACAUUCCAGACACAGUCCUUCAGAGGCUGGCUAGUAUUAAGGAAAGUGGUUAGGUUUGUGAGGUGAAACAGUGGAUGCUUGUGGCUUUUCCGCAGUGUGUGCAGUCAGGCCAGCUUGACUUGGAGGAAAGCCAUUCAACACAAAAAUGGCACCACAGUUACCCUGGAGGUAACUGUGAAGCACAGGGUUUGAGCCACCUCCAUCAUCCUCAGGGCACUGUGUGUUUCAGGAUACUCUGUGGCACUGCUUUCUUUUCUUUUCUUUUCUUUUUUUUUUUUUUUUUUGGACGGAGUCUCGCUCUGUCGUCCAGGCUGGAGUGCAGUGGUGCGAUCUCGGCUCACUGCAAGCUCCGCCUCCCGGGUUCUCGCCAUUCUCCUGCCUCAGCCUCCCGAGUAGCUGGGAUUACAGGCGCCCGCCACCGCGCCCAGCUAAUUUCUUUUUGUAUUUUUAGUAGAGACGAGGUUUCACUGUGUUAGCCAGGGAUGGUCUCAAUCUCCUGACCUUGUGAUCCGCCCGCCUCGGCCUCCCAAAGUGCUGGGAUUACAGGCGUGAGCCACAGCGCCUGGCCGAGAGACUCCUUUUAUGGGAAUCUUACAUGAUUAUUCAUAAGGGGCUGGGAAGAGGUGUUACUAGUAAGCACAUUCUGGGUGGUCUUCUGGGUGCACAUGCACAGUAGCUGCCCAUUCUUGUUCAUACGUCACAUCUCAUUAGCAUCUUAAAUCUCCACCCAGGGAUGUGGUUUUUACUAUUAUAAUGAGCAAAGGGUCAAUCUGAAGACAGGUAAAAUAAAAAUACGCGUGCUCCCUACAGGGGAAAUUCCCUACUGGAGAGAGCUUUGCUUGAAUGAGCUUGACUACAAUGCGAAUGCUGAGGCUUAUUGUGUUGACUGUACGAUUGCCAAGUCUCCAGGACAUGGUUACUUCCUUGGCUACCUAUCCUGUCUCAUGGUCCUCAGUCACUUCACACCCAUGAUGUAUGCUAACACCCUUCGGUUAUCUGUUUAGAAGGGAUAAUUAUUAUUUUUUUCUUUUUGAGACAGAGUCUCGCUCUGUUGCCAGGCUGGAGUGCAGUGGCACGAUCUCAGCUCCCUGCAACCUCUGCCUUCUGUGUUCAAGCAAUUCUCCUGCCUCAGCCUCCCGAGUAGCUGGAACUAUAGGCAUGUGCCACCAUACCCAGCUAAUUUUUGUAUUUUUAGUAGACGAGGUUUCACCAUGUUGGCCAGGAUGGUGUCGAUCUUCUGACCUCGUGAUCCACUCGCCUCGGCCUCCCAAUGUGCUGGGAUUACAGGCAUGAGCCACCGCGCCCAGUCUAGAAGUUAUAAUUUUAACUUUCCCUGAAGAACACUCAUAAACAUAAGUUAAGGAUUGCAAUGUUUUGUUCAUGAACAAAUCUUCCAGACUGUGAGAAUUAAGCAAGAUAAACUGAAAAUAAUAAUAAUGCGAUACAGAUUUUCCUAACUACAGAAAAUUGAGGAAACAUACUACAAAAUGUGGAAUGACUGACCUUUAAUUCUACCUGGGCUGGAGGUUCAAGAAAUGGACAGAAGGGGUCACUACAUGCACAGGAAAGAAUUUCCUAAUUUUACCAGUAGAGCUGAUGUUGAAGGAGAAAUAUGUGCUGUAACAAGAGAACUUCAAAGUAGGAUGAAUGAAGGAAAUCUUACCCCCCUAAUAAUAUGGAAUUUAUGCAGAAUCAAUUUUUACUUCAGAAGUUCCAGCCCCAGCCCCUCGAACUCACCGGGUCUCCACAGCACACUCUGAUCAAUAUCCCACAGGUGAGGAAUAUAAAAUACUCUUUAUAAAGUGGAAGCUAGUAAGUCGUUCUUUUCAAACUUUCACAAGAAACUACAGAUCUUUUUAAAAGAUUCUGAUUCAGCAGGUCAUUGGGGAAGGCCUGAUCCUCUGCAUUUCUGACUCGGUCCCCAGUGUCGUCCAUGCUGCUGGUCCGCGGACCGCAGUUAGAGUGCUGAGGUAGUAAUAGACCUGGUUAGGCAGGCAGGCAGGCAAGGGACUGAUCCCAUGGAGCCUGGUGGGCCGUAUUAAGGACUUUUAUUGGAUUUCGAGCAGAGAAGCGACGUUUGGGUUGUGUUUUAAGAAGCUACAGAACAAGUUCUGCCAAAGUGGAAGCAAAGACAGGUUACCCACUCCUCUUUUGCCUCCUCGCCUCUUGCCUCGUCGCGGGUGAGCUAUGACUAUCUGGGGCAGUGGUGCGCCGGGGGUAAAAGUAUUUACCAAGACAAUUGUAGGUAAAGGAAGGCAGGUUUAUCGGAGAAAGUAUGAAAAUUCGUUGCGAGGCAGCAACAGGCAGGUCAGCAGAAGAGAAGCUGAAUGCAGGGAAACAGGCUUGCUGAGGAUUUUAUGGACUGGAACUUUGGCUGAUUGAUAACGCCAAGGCAGCAGGGGGCUAAUUUGCAUUUUUCUGGCCGCUGUGGUGUUUGAUAAAUUGAAGCGUUUGUUGAUAAGCAGGAAGUUUGAGUUAUGUAUGUUAUCUGAGCAGGAGGGCCAUAUGUCCUGGGCCAUAAAGCAGACCUAUAACUUAUCUGCCUCUUUUUGUUUAUAUGUCCUGGACCAUGAAGAAAGGCAGAUUUGUAGCUUAUUUACUUUAUCUCUUUGCUUUCUGCGGCUCUCGCCAGCCUGAUUUUUUUCUCCCCUAAUUAGGACUCUGCGUGCCUGAUUGCUUUUCUCUGCCUUCCUUACUUGCAACUCCCAAGGUCAUGUGUCCGUGAGAGUGGACCUAACUCAGCCGCUAACUCAGCCUCGAGCUACACAAAAAAGGGACUGGACUGGGCUAAGGCUUCAAAAAAGGGUGGGCCUUGGGUAAGAUGUUCCAGCUGGUCCAGCACCCUCCUGUCCCAUUUCCCAG